Molecule: ribosomal RNA, 101 nt
Filed under: Chordata environmental sample
Lineage: Eukaryota; Metazoa; Chordata
Description: partial 12S ribosomal RNA
Source: RNAcentral
GCUUAGCCCUAAACACAGAUAAUUAUCAAACAAAAUAUUUGCCUGAGAACUACUGGCCACAGCUUAAAACUCAAAGGACUUGGCGGUACUUUAUGUCCAUC